UUUGAACGCUAGCGGGAUGCUUUACACAUGCAAGUCGAACGAGUGGCGGACGGGUGAGUAAUAUAUCGGAACGUGCCCAGUAGCGGGGGAUAACUACUCGAAAGAGUGGCUAAUACCGCAUACCAUUGGAGCGGCCGAUAUCGGAUUAGAUGGUUGGUGGGAUAAAGGCUCACCAAGGCAACGAUCCGUAGCUGGUUUGAGAGGACGACCAGCGACACUGGAACUGAGACACGGCCCAGAAUCCUACAGAGGACAGCAGUGGGGAAUAUUGGACAAUGGAGGAAAACCUGAUCCAACCAUCCCGCGUGUAUGAGAAGGCCUGCGGGUUGUAAAGUACUUUUGGCAGAGAAGCGGUAUCUGCAGAAUAAGCACCGGCUGACUACGUGCCAGCCGCCGCGGUAAUUC
RNAcentral lists this ribosomal RNA (405 nucleotides) under uncultured bacterium. Its description in RNAcentral is "partial 16S ribosomal RNA". It matches the Rfam family "Bacterial small subunit ribosomal RNA", at positions 30 to 526 of the family's 1533-position model. The record is from RNAcentral.